AUGAGAGAGCAGAGACAUUUCCUGAAAUCAUUUUGUGAUCUUCCUCUGGCAAAAUGUUUAUUUGCCAGUGAAUUCAGUGGACGAGCAUGGAGAACAAUGAAUGUGCUGGUAUUACGUAUGUGCCACGAAUGUAAGUUUUGGAUAGACGUUGACUAUGGCAAUACUGUGCCACAGACUUUUUUGUUCUUUGCAGCUGAGCUUCAGAGACAGAAACUAUGCUUGAUUGCACAAUGUCUCCCAUAGAAAUUAUAAGGAGAAUGCCAUGCUCUAAUUGUGAUUAUUUACACAGAACACCCCAGCUCCCUGUUUCCCCUCUGGCUUUUCUUAAGCAAGCAAUUUAUUCACAACAGUUUUAAAUUUAAAAUCAAUAUUUCUAUUAAAGUAGUUUUACACUUUUCAUCUUUAUGAAUGGACAAGUCUUAGAAGGGAAUCCAACUGCGCUUAAGCGGGAAGACGAGGCUAUUGAUAAAACACAUUCUAGAGGCAUCUAUGAAAAUGAAGUAUUUCUGUUUAUCUUUAAACACAGAAAUAAAUGUGAAUGGACAUAAAAUGUAACUUGUAUC
RNAcentral lists this long non-coding RNA (563 nucleotides) under Bos indicus x Bos taurus (hybrid cattle). RNAcentral's name for it is "lncRNA (ENSBIXG00005008400.1)". Lineage: Eukaryota; Metazoa; Chordata; Mammalia; Artiodactyla; Bovidae. The record is from RNAcentral.